UACGGAGGAUCCAAGCGUUAUCCGGAAUCAUUGGGUUUAAAGGGUCCGUAGGCGGUUUAGUAAGUCAGUGGUGAAAGCCCAUCGCUCAACGGUGGAACGGCCAUUGAUACUGCUAGACUUGAAUUAUUAGGAAGUAACUAGAAUAUGUAGUGUAGCGGUGAAAUGCUUAGAGAUUACAUGGAAUACCAAUUGCGAAGGCAGGUUUACUACUAAUAGGUGAUUGGAACGCUGAUGGACGAAAGCGUGGGUAGCGAACAGG
RNAcentral lists this ribosomal RNA (259 nucleotides) under uncultured bacterium. RNAcentral describes it as "partial 16S ribosomal RNA". It matches the Rfam family "Bacterial small subunit ribosomal RNA", at positions 524 to 776 of the family's 1533-position model. The record is from RNAcentral.